Molecule: ribosomal RNA, 274 nt
Filed under: uncultured bacterium
Lineage: Bacteria
Description: partial 16S ribosomal RNA
Rfam family: Bacterial small subunit ribosomal RNA
Source: RNAcentral
AUACGGAGGGUGCAAGCAUUACUCGGAAUCACUGGGCGUAAAGCGCGCGCAGGCGGUCUUUUAAGUUGGAUGUGAAAGCCUACGGCUCAACCGUAGAACUGCAUCCAAAACUAUUAGACUAGAGUGUGGGAGAGGAAGAUGGAAUUAGUUGUGUAGGGGUAAAAUCCGUAGAGAUAACUAGGAAUACCAAAAGCGAAGGCAAUCUUCUGGAACACUACUGACGCUGAGGCGCGAAAGCGUGGGGAGCAAACAGGAUUAGAAACCCGAGUAGUCC